AGGACUAACGUUGGCGGCGUGCAUAACACAUGCAAGUUGAGCGUGGCUUUAGUUUACUAAAGUCUAGCAGCGGACGGCUGAGUAAUGCACAGGAACGUACCUCGAAGUGGGGGAUAGCCCUUCGAAAGAAGGGGUAAUACCGCAUGUAGUCGCAAGACUAAAGCCGCAAGGCGCUUUGAGAGCGGCCUGUGUCCUAUCAGGUUGUUGGUGGGGUAAUUGCCUACCAAGCCUAUGACGGGUAACUGGUCUGAGAGGAUGACCAGUCAGAUCGGGACUGAGACACGGCCCGAACUCCUACGGGAGGCAGCAGUGGGGAAUUUUGCGCAAUGGGGGAAACCCUGACGCAGCAACGCCGCGUGGAGGAUGAAGUCCCUUGGGACGUAAACUCCUUUCGAUCGGGACGAUUAUGACGGUACCGGAAGAAGAAGCCCCGGCUAACUUCGUGCCAGCAGCCGC
This 456-nucleotide ribosomal RNA is filed under the name uncultured bacterium. Its description in RNAcentral is "SSU rRNA". It matches the Rfam family "Bacterial small subunit ribosomal RNA", at positions 26 to 518 of the family's 1533-position model. The record is from RNAcentral.